GAUAUACUCCGUCCGUUCGAAAUUACUUGUCGCAUAAAUGAAUAAAAAUAAAUGUACUUAAAACUAAAAUACAUCUACAUACAUUCAUUCCUAUGGCAAGUAUUUUCGAACGAAGGGAGUACAAC
Molecule: non-coding RNA, 125 nt
Organism: Hordeum vulgare subsp. vulgare (domesticated barley)
Lineage: Eukaryota; Viridiplantae; Streptophyta; Magnoliopsida; Poales; Poaceae
Source: Rfam